UGGGGAAUAUUGGACAAUGGGCGCAAGCCUGCUCCAGCCAUGCCGCGUGAGUGAUGAAGGCCCUAGGGUUGUAAAGCUCUUUCACCGGUGAAGAUAAUGACGGUAACCGGAGAAGAAGCCCCGGCUAACUUCGUGCCAGCAGCCGCGGUAAUACGAAGGGGGCUAGCGUUGUUCGGAUUUACUGGGCGUAAAGCGCACGUAGGCGGACUUUUAAGUCAGGGGUGAAAUCCCGGGGCUCAACCCCGGAACUGCCUUUGAUACUGGAAGUCUUGAGUAUGGUAGAGGUGAGUGGAAUUCCGGGUGUAGAGGUGGAAUUCGUAGAUAUUCGGAGGAACACCAGUGGCGAAGGCGGCUCACUGGACCAUUACUGACGCUGAGGUGCGAAAGCGUGGGGAGCAAACAGG
Molecule: ribosomal RNA, 404 nt
Filed under: Actinomycetes bacterium
Lineage: Bacteria; Bacillati; Actinomycetota; Actinomycetes
Description: Actinobacteria bacterium partial 16S ribosomal RNA
Rfam family: Bacterial small subunit ribosomal RNA
Source: RNAcentral